GCUCUGAUGAAGCUAAUUAGCAUCGGUCUUGUAAACCGAAGAUAAGAAGACUCUCUCCAGAGCU
Molecule: transfer RNA, 64 nt
Filed under: Anodonta nuttalliana
Lineage: Eukaryota; Metazoa; Mollusca; Bivalvia; Unionida; Unionidae
Description: tRNA-Thr
Source: RNAcentral